This 1138-nucleotide long non-coding RNA is filed under the name Sus scrofa (pig). Its description in RNAcentral is "lncRNA (ENSSSCG00060039129.1)". The record is from RNAcentral. Lineage: Eukaryota; Metazoa; Chordata; Mammalia; Artiodactyla; Suidae.
CACACACACGCACACCAUUUUCUCUCGGAUAGACAGAGCUCCAAAUGGCUACACAUGGAGCAACGCUGAGUGGCAGGAGGACACGGCACGAAAGCAACAGGCUCUGAAAAGACAUGAGCCACCCAGCAACUGUCCUUGUGCAGAGAGAGGGUGCUGCUGGGUCAUCGCCACCCAGUGGACUUUCAGUUAAAUCUUGGCCGCCUUGCCACCUCCUUGCUAGCCUGGCAGGGACAGGCCCCAUCUGAGCCGGGGCAGGCGUCUUGGGCCUCACUCUUUCUGCUGUUUCAAGUCAGCCUGAGGCCAGGGUGACAGAUGGGCUCUAGCUGUCCUGGAAGAGGACCCUGGAGGGAAGCCCAGGUCGUGUAUGCAAGACCCUAGGCACAGCCAGCGGGUCUCAGCCCUCUUCCCCUGGCUUCCCCUUAGUUAAGUUUUUUCUUCCUCUUUCCCUUGCUUUCAUGCAAUGUCCCUUCUUUCUUUGAUACUCUUUUUUCUCACUUUUUUUUUUUAAGUUUUACUGAAGUAUAGUGGAUUUACAAUGUUGUGCCAAGUUCUUUUUUUUUUUUUGUCUUUUUGCCAUUUCUUGGGCCGCUUCCACGGCACAUGGAGGUUCCCAGGCUAGGGGUCUAAUCAGAGCUGUAGCUGCCAGCCUAUGCCAGAGCCACAGCAACGCAGGAUCCGAGCCGUGUCUACAACCUACACCACAGCUCAUGGCAACGCCGGAUCGUUAACCCACUGAGCAAGAGCAGGGACCGAACCCGCACCCUCAUGGUUCCUAGUCGGAUUCGUUAACCACUGCGCCACAACGGGAACUCCCCAAGUUCUGCUCGCUUACCCAUUCUAAAGGUAACAAUUUGUAAUACGCUUAAAUAUGAAAUUUUUUGUCCCUCCCUUUGCUCUUGUUAUUAUUCCUUGGGUUCCCCCCUCCCUGCCCCACCACACUCAAAAACUCUUCCGACUUAUUUUUCUUUCUCUUGGGAAAAAAAAAGCACAAGCCACGCACACAUUCUGAAGGGUGGGAAAGCUGAGAAGUCAUAGGCUUUAGGAGCAAAGACUAACGCUGAAAAGCAGCUAAAUUUAGUAGCUUCCAAUACAAGGUGAGGCCUUACAAAAAAAAAAAAAAGAAAAAGAAAAAGAAAAG